GUUCCUUAGCUAUAGUACCUGACCCACGUACUGUUUAUAAGGUUAUUUUAACUCAACCAAAGUUUGACGAUCAGAUCUCGCACCGCCUCUGCUGUUACUGAGUCAUCGACUUCCUCGGCUUCCUGAUAUCAAUUGCUACGUGUGAUCGCCUCCGGUUACAAGAGACUGCAACACCGCCUCACUCAUGUGUUGGUCAUCGUAGCCGGUCUCUCAGUAUUUAAUGUUUAUCUAUUAUCGUUCUGUUUGCUUCACGAUCCUUCCACCACCUCACAAAUCGACCUUCCUCUCUUCUUCUACUCUUUCCUCCCUCCACCGCAACCACUGCCUGAUCCUUUAUGUUUGACGCUUGCAUCUCCGAUUAGCUCUUUCUCUUGGUGUCUGUCGCUACACCAUUAGUGGUGGAGGACGUUACGACUGUUAAGGUGGUCGUAGACAAUAACAUUAGGGUUUUGGAUGUCCGUACUGGACGGUCUUGUAAUUGACGCUUUGGGUCUUCAUACUUGCAAUUGAUCAAUAUAGGUAUGUCUGCAACGACUUGUAGCCCCAAACAUCUCCAUUCGAGCGUUUAGAGGGAAACACCGACUGCAAUGUAUUCCAAGUCUAAGGAUCUCCGGCUGCACCGUCAUUCACCGCUCUUUCUGAUUUUCUCAAAUUCUUCUAUCAAAGUCGACCGCUCCAUCGUUUCUCACCGACUCUCCUCGCUCUCCUAAAUUCCAUCUGCUCCUUUUGUUGUUUGUUGUCGACGUUGCUGCACUGUAAGGUAGGCCAGUCACGGAGUCCAUAAUUUUUCCGAUUUGGGGGUGUUUAUUUCCGAUUCUUCCGAUUUCUUUCCGCCGUUCUUGUGUUCGCUUUCUAUGGCUCCAUCUUAGGUUGGUUUUCUCAAUUAUCCGACUACCUUCAGACUGUAUGUGAUUUGGAGCUACUUAUCGAUCCUCUUACUCUUCCAUGUGAGGACCAAUAUUAAAAAUUGGAUCAGUUGUUCAUCUAAUUAGGAUGGUAAUCUUGAUACACGUAUUCCUUCUAUCAAGUAGUGAUCCUUCAAUUUCAAAUUUUACUAACUAAUUAUGUACUUACAGUUGUUCUAUUGUUCAUCUAAUUAGAAAUUGCAUAUAUUUUUUUCUUUUAUCGAACGGUAAGAAAUACCCUUUAAACUUCGAUUUUUUUUUUCUGUUGUCGAUUUAUGUAUCUGAACAAUGAGGGUUUUGUUUCGAUUUUCUACUUAUAACUUUCAACUUCAAUUUUCUAUUUUUUUGUUAUGAACAUGUGACGUAUGGUGGCGAGGAUUGUUGGGUUGGUCGAAAUGGAAACCCUAAUAGAUUUCUUAUUUGGAUUGGGUUUUUACUGUUCAUAUUUGGAUUGGGUAUCAAUUUUACUUUCAGUCAUGCUUUGAUCCUGGGUUCAAGAAAAAUUUAAUCAGCCCGCCAGGUAUUUUUUUUUCCCUUUUUGUGUUUGACUUUCUCAAUUCAACACCUCAUCUUUACUCUCUCCAACCACUGCUCUAAAUUUUAGGGCUUCUGGAAGGCGAUGAGUAUGUGGCCGAGUGUGCUAGUCGUCGAAUGAUUUUAGGGUUUAUUGCACAGCCUGCACACCAACACGACGUUGUUAUCAGUACAACAUGUUGACCCAGACUUCCCCUCGAAAAUCAUGUGCUUUACCUGUUGCAUCUGAGAUCUUCUUUCUCAUACUAGCUGUUGUUGUUCGAUUUAUAUGUGGAAAAGGAAUUUUAUGUUGUCCGGUUAACAGGCGAUUUAAAUCUUCCCAUGUGGUUGACUAAAGAGGAACAGAAGUUAGUCCACAUUAGCAAAGAGUUUAAACCAAUGACCUAUAGGAUCAAGUUGAUCUUCCAAAUAUACCUUUUAUUAUGUAUAUAUUUUGAUCUUUGUGGAGAUUAUUGUUGAAAUUUGUUAUGAAUUAAGCAUACUAUCAUUGUCUUACAUUGGUAUCUUUCAAAACAUCAUUGAGCAGACUACUACCUUUUGUUGUGCAACAAAUUUUUGAGAAACUGCAAGGAUGUUCUGUUGUAUAAUUAGGAUAUGGUGUAGGUCAGUUAUAUUCAAAGAUUACUUUAUAUUGUUUUAAUUUUUCAAAUUUCUAUUUGGAAAGUUUUUGGCUUCAUGUGUGCAAGAUUCCAUUUUUCUAUAUAAAUAUAUGGUAAGUUUUAUAUUUUUUGGGUUGUAACUAUUUAUAUAAAAUCCCCUUUUCAGUUCUUGAAGAAAAACCAUAGAUCUUCAUGGAUUUUCUGAUUUAUUUUCUGGGUUGUAACUAUUUAUAUAAAAUUCCCUUUUCAGAUCUUGAAGAAAAACAUAGAUCUUCAUGACUCUUCUGACAACCCAAAUUCAUGUUCUGGUAAGAUUGCUAUAGUGAUUCGGGUGGUUCUUUGACCCAUUAUAAAUAAACAACUUUGUAUAUAGAUCGCCCCUAUGAAAACAAGUGGGACAUUUUUCCAACAGUGAUGAAAUACUAAAAAUUGUGAGUUCCUAAUUAAAUGAUUUUAUCGAAAGGGUGCUUUUAUUUUCACGUAAUCUGUUAAAUGACAUUUUGAUUUUAUCGCCUAUAUGAAAACAAGUGGGAAAUCGUUCGUAAACAUACCAUAAGUCACAUACAUGUCAAUAAUGUCUGCAAAAUUACUAAUAAUAAAAAAGAAGAACCAAAUCUGAUAUUCUCUUAUUUGGUGUUUGUGUGAUAACAAACUUUCUUCUCUUUUCAAUAUGCAGGGGAUAAAGCUUUCUCAAAUACAAAGAAGUUUUUCAUAAUUCUAUAAGUACGACAUGACAACUAUUUCUGUUUUAAAAGAAAAAAAUAGUAGUAAAAUCACAUCCUUAACCCCCAAAUUAAAAUGAGCUCUUAGGCUUAAUGAGAAUAUACAAUAAUACAAUAUACAAUGAGAUUUUCAAUCUGGUCUUCCUUUAAUUUGACUGGGUUUAAUCUUAUUAUGAUUUCGUUAAGACUCUUUAUUUUGUUACUGUUUGCAAUAGUUUUUCCACAUGUAUGUUCGUUUUACUCAUAGACAAAAGGUAUUGUUAAAGUGGAUAAUGGGAUAUAUGAAGCCAUUUUGUUGACUUUGAUUGUCAAAGAUUAUAAAUGGUUUUAAUUUAGUGUAUUAUGUUUGUAUCUUGGUGAUCUCUCUGCAGUGGAAAAAAGGAAGCUCCAUAAAUCAUAUUUAUAAAGAAGGUUCAAAUUUGUUUGUAUUUUGGAUGCAUGGGUAUUUUAGUCAAAUGUAUAAUUGGGAGACAUUCAAUUUGUAUAUUGGUAUUUUUUUUUGUAAAUUUGUCAAGUGGAUCAUAAAUGGUAUGGACCGUAAUUGGAUGUUUAUUAUUAGGAGGUGAUUAGGUGAUUUUUUGAGUAAAGGGCAUUUUGGUCAAAUCUGAAAAAU
This 3373-nucleotide long non-coding RNA is filed under the name Lactuca sativa (garden lettuce). RNAcentral describes it as "long non-coding RNA (LSAT_LNC009192)". The record is from RNAcentral. Lineage: Eukaryota; Viridiplantae; Streptophyta; Magnoliopsida; Asterales; Asteraceae.